AGAAUCAACGCUGGCGGCGUGCCUAACACAUGCAAGUCGAACGAGAAAGCCUGUAGUAAUACAGGUGAGUAAAGUGGCGCACGGGUGAGUAACACGUGGAUAACCUACCUCCGAAUGGGGAAUAACCCUGGGAAACCGGGGCUAAUACCGCAUAACAUCUUAGUACCUCGGUACAGAGAUUGAAACCUUGAAAAGGGGUUUGGAGAGGGGUCCGCGGCUGAUUAGCUAGUUGGUGAGGUAAUGGCCCACCAAGGCUUUGAUCGGUA
RNAcentral lists this ribosomal RNA (266 nucleotides) under uncultured bacterium. RNAcentral's name for it is "partial small subunit ribosomal RNA". It matches the Rfam family "Bacterial small subunit ribosomal RNA", at positions 26 to 285 of the family's 1533-position model. The record is from RNAcentral.